AAAAAGGAAGCAUGGUGGUUAUGUAAUUAGCUUGAAACUAGUUGAUGUGGGUUCAAUUCCUACCCUUUUUG
Molecule: transfer RNA, 71 nt
Filed under: Ichthyophis glutinosus (Ceylon caecilian)
Lineage: Eukaryota; Metazoa; Chordata; Amphibia; Gymnophiona; Ichthyophiidae
Description: tRNA-Ser
Rfam family: tRNA
About the family: Transfer RNA (tRNA) molecules are approximately 80 nucleotides in length. Their secondary structure includes four short double-helical elements and three loops (D, anti-codon, and T loops).
Source: RNAcentral